UGGGGAAUAUUGGACAAUGGGGGCAACCCUGACCCAGCAAUGCCGCGUGAGUGAUGAAGGCCUUAGGGUUGUAAAGCUCUUUCGCACGCGACGAUGAUGACGGUAGCGUGAGAAGAAGCCCCGGCUAACUUCGUGCCAGCAGCCGCGGUAAUACGAAAGGGGCGAGCGUUGUUCGGAAUUACUGGGCGUAAAGGGCGCGUAGGCGGCCCGAUCAGUCAGAUGUGAAAGCCCCGGGCUCAACCUGGGAACUGCAUUUGAUACUGUCGGGCUUGAGUUCCGGAGAGGAUGGUGGAAUUCCCAGUGUAGAGGUGAAAUUCGUAGAUAUUGGGAAGAACACCGGUGGCGAAGGCGGCCAUCUGGACGGACACUGACGCUGAGGCGCGAAGGCGUGGGGAGCAAACA
RNAcentral lists this ribosomal RNA (402 nucleotides) under uncultured prokaryote. RNAcentral's name for it is "bacterial SSU rRNA". It matches the Rfam family "Bacterial small subunit ribosomal RNA", at positions 355 to 774 of the family's 1533-position model. The record is from RNAcentral.